RNAcentral lists this ribosomal RNA (253 nucleotides) under uncultured bacterium. Its description in RNAcentral is "partial 16S ribosomal RNA". It matches the Rfam family "Bacterial small subunit ribosomal RNA", at positions 524 to 776 of the family's 1533-position model. The record is from RNAcentral.
UACGUAGGUGGCAAGCGUUGUCCGGAUUUAUUGGGUUUAAAGGGUGCGUAGGCGGCUUUGUAAGUCAGUGGUGAAAUAUGGCAGCUCAACUGUCAAGGUGCCAUUGAUACUGCGGAGCUUGAGUACAGAUGAGGUAGGCGGAAUUGACGGUGUAGCGGUGAAAUGCUUAGAUAUCGUCAAGAACACCUAUAGCGAAGGCAGCUUACUAGGCUGUAACUGGCGCUGAGGCACGAAAGUGUGGGGAUCAAACAGG